UCAGUGUAUCAUGUCUUUUAUUAAUUAACCACCACGUAAAGUCUAACAUCCAGAACAGACUAAUCAAUCCAGCACAAUCAAACCCAACUGCAUCACAUCUCAUAAUUCAUUUUUAAAAAACGGUCCAAAAAUGUGAUUUAAAAAAAAAAAAAAGUUAAUAUCAAGCCUUUUAUUUGGUAUACAGAUAUUCAUAUAUUUAUACAGUAUAUAACACAUGUGCCACUGCAAAGUCAGACAAACUAAUCAUCUUUUAAGGAACAAAAAUAAAGAUAAAAAUAAUGAGAAACUUCAGAGGAAUACAGUGAAGCGUGUCGUCGUGGUAACAAUGACCAACAGGAAUGAUGAGGUAAACUGCCAGGCAGAGAAACUAAACAAAAAGCAACUAGUUCAGGCUACAGAGAGGCAGCGGAGUGGCAUGGGCCCUUAAGUGUCAGCUACAUGUGGAUACCCAAGUCUAAACACACAAAUACAUGAUCGGAGACUAACUAAAAAUACAGUCUCUCAUACACACAAACCCAACGCUGGCACAUACCAGCGGACAGGAAUCAUACGUGUGGACAUUGGCUUGUGCGCACACACCCACCCACCCUCCAGCGGGUUCAGCUGAGGGACAUCCAGAGCUAGAGAGACACAAGGGGGGCUGGACCAGAGGGAAUGGAGUGUGAGGAUGAAGAGGACAGAAGGGAAAGAGGGCUAAAGGAGAGAUGGAGGGCAGAGUUAGAGGAGGCUGAAACACUUCCAAAAGAGAUUGAAGGUGGAGUGAGGGGCAGUAGUUACAGGAGGAGGAAAAGAGAUGCAGGGGAGGGAUGGGGGGGGGGGCAGUGCUAAAACUGUUUGACAGUCAGAGUGGUUGUCUCCCCCUGGUGGUCACUCUGAGUCUCGCUGGACCUCAGAGGCAUCAGCCCGACAGAUGGGACACGUCCUGUUAGCCUGGAGCAAGAGACAACCAGAGAGGGAGAGAUAGUCCGUUAACAUGCAGGGAUGACUUGAUCAUUACAGGAGAACUUCAGAUAAUAUAUAUAUAUUUUUAAGAGGGUGCUUCAGUUGGAUCAAGAACUAGGUAUGAAGACAGAUGUUUCACAGUAUCUAGAAACGUGUGUUUGCCAACUACACAGAAAGAAACGUUAAAAGCAACAUGAAAAAAAUAUAUAUUUCGCCAACCUUGGCUUUAUACCUGUUCAGAUAACACUCCAGCUGGUAGUUUGUUACCAACUCAGAAGUAAACUGAACAAAAAUAUAAACGCAACAUGCAAAAAUCUUAAGAGUUAACUGAGUUACAGUUCAUAAGGAAAUUGGAAGAAAUUCAUUAGGCCCUAAUCAAUGUAUUUCACAUGACUUGGUAUACAGAUAGCUUAAAAAAAUAUAUUAAAAAGGGGCUGUGGAUCAGGAGUCCAGUCAGUAACUGGUGCGACCAUCGUUUACCUCAGGCAGCGCGAUACAUCUCCUUCGCAUCGAGUUGAUUGUGGCCUGUGGAAUGUUGUCCAACUCUUCAAAUGUUGUGAAAGGUUGCUGGAUAUUGGCGGGAACUGGAACACGGUCAUACGCAUUGAUCCAGAGCAUGGAAGAGCGGACACCUUUUUCAGCUUCCAGGAAUGGUGUACAGAUCCUUGCGACACGGGGCCUUGCAUUACCGUGCUGAAACAUGAGGUGAUGGCGGCAGAUGAACGGCACGACAACGGGCCUCAGGAUCUCUGUGCUUUCAAGUUGCCAUCGAUAAAAUCCAAUUGAGUUUAUUCUCCGUAGCUUUCGCCUGCCAAUAACCCCACUGCCAUUAUUGGGCACUCAUGUUCACAACGUUGACAUCAGCAAACCGCUCUCCCACAUGAAUAAAACGCAGUCUGCCAUCUGCCCGGUACAGUUGAAACCGGGAUUCAGCCAUGACAAGCACACUUCUCCAGCGUGCCAGUGGCAAUCGAAAGUUAGCAUUUGACCACUAAAGUCAGGUCAAGAACCUGGUGAAGACCACAAACACAGAGAUGAGCUUCCCUGAGACGGUUUCUGAGUUUGUGCAGAAAUUCUUCAGGUUGUGCAAACCCAGUUGUCAGGUGGCUGGUCUCAGACGACCACGCAGGUGAAGAAGCCGGAUGUGGAGGUCCUGGGAUGGCAUAGAUGUGGUCUGCGGUUGCGAGGCCAGGUGGACGUACUGCCAAAUUCUCAAAAACGAUGUUGGAUGCAGCUUAUGGUAGAGAAAUUAACAUUAAAUUAUCUGGCAACAGCUCUGGUGGACAUUCCUGCAGUCAACACGCCAAUUGCACGGUCCAUCAAAACUUAGAGACAGCUGUGGCAUUGUGUUGUGUGACAAAAACAGCACACUUUAGAGCUGACUUUUAUUGUCCCCAGCACAAGAUGCACCUGUGUAAUGGUCAUGCUGUUUAAUCAGCUUCUUGAUAUGCCACACGUGACAGGUGGAUGGAUUAUCUUGGCAAAGAAGAAAUGGUCCCUAACAGGGAGGUAAACAAAACAUCUGCUCUAAAAUUGGAGAGAAAUACACUUUUUGUGCGUGUGGAACAUUUCUGGGAUCAUUUAUUUCAGCUCAUGAAACAUGGGACCAACACUUUACAUGUUGCCUUUUAUAUUUUUGUUCAGUGUAGUUGAUUGUGCUUCGUGAAAUACUAGAGCGAGAGACUCACCCGGAGCCACUUGUCGACACACUUCCCGUGAAACUCAUGACUGCAGGGCAGAACUCGCAGCAGCUGACGAGACUCAAAGUCACUCAUACACACCACACACCUGCAACACAACUUCAUUACAACAUUUCAACAAAACCACCAGCUGUAUACUCGUCGAGGAGGAUAGCAUCCUCGGUUCUGGUAGGUCCAGGGGAAGUACUCACAGCGUCUGUUCUGAUUGGUGGUUGUUGGGGUUGAACCUAUAGGAAGGCAGCUGCUCGAUGUCUCCCUUAGUCAGUCCUCGGAGUUUGGCCUCUCCCAGACGCUCGGCCAGGUUGAGAAGAGCCUCGUAGUUCUCCACCUCGCCGUCAUCUACGUCCAGCUCCAGACUGAUGGCAGGGCCUGUAGGCUGGACUGGCAGCAUAGAGCUGACAGACAGGGAGAGAAACUCACUUACCUACAGACACUGCGCAUACACAGCUCAUGUGACAGAGUACAAAAGAGCUUGACUGUAUUCGCACAAAUACGCUAUGCCACAAGAGUCAGCUACUUCCAACCAAUAGGGCAGAGUCUCCUGAUUGUCUAAGCUACAACACCCAUGAUGUAGAGCUAGAGAUGAAUGGUGACUUACAGGAAGUAAGGCAGGAAACUGGGGUGGUAAGGCGAGGGUGGCAGUGGCUGCUGUGAGCGGUAGCGUCGUCCAGGGAUACGCCGUGGCAUGAAGUUAGGAUACGAC
This is a long non-coding RNA of Oncorhynchus tshawytscha (Chinook salmon), 3345 nucleotides long. The record is from Ensembl. NCBI's taxonomy places the organism in Eukaryota, Metazoa, Chordata, Actinopteri, Salmoniformes, Salmonidae.